UUUUAAAUUAGAUAGGUUAGGGUUUUUUUUUUGUAACAAAACUAUGUCAAUAAACAGUGUAAUUUUUAAAUUAGAUAGGUUAGGUUUUUUUUUUGUAAUGGAAUUAUGCCUAUAAACGGCCCCUUUCUGAAGUCAGAUAGAUUAUGGUAAUUUUUUUUAUUCAUGUCAUGUUUUUCACUUCAUUAUAUAUUUUUUUAUCUAUUUAUUGUCAUAUAAAAUGAACUAAAAUAUUGAAUAUUUUUCGUAUAUAACAGUAAAUAAAUAAAAAUAAAAUAUAUUUAAGUAAAAAACAUAACACAAAACAAGG
Molecule: unclassified non-coding RNA, 307 nt
Filed under: Melitaea cinxia (Glanville fritillary)
Lineage: Eukaryota; Metazoa; Arthropoda; Insecta; Lepidoptera; Nymphalidae
Description: misc RNA ENSMCXG00005008026.1
Source: RNAcentral